CCUACGGGAGGCAGCAGUGGGGAAUAUUGCGCAAUGGGCGAAAGCCUGACGCAGCGACGCCGCGUGAGGGAUGAAGGUCUUCGGAUCGUAAACCUCUGUCAGCAGGGAAGAACGGUCACUGUGCUAAUCAGCAGUGAAUUGACGGUACCUGCAAAGGAAGCACCGGCUAACUCCGUGCCAGCAGCCGCGGUAAUACGGAGGGUGCGAGCGUUCAUCGGAAUUACUGGGCGUAAAGCGCUCGUAGGCGGUAUGUCAAGUCAAGGGUGAAAUCCCCGCGCUCAACGUGGGAACUGCCUUUGAAACGGGCAAACUGGAGUGUGUGAGAGGAUAGUGGAAUUCCAGGUGUAGGAGUGAAAUGCGUAGAUAUCGGGAGGAACAUCAGUGGCGAAGGCGACUAUCUGGCACAUAACUGACGCUGAGGAGCGAAAGCGUGGGUAGCAAACAGGAUUAGAUACCCGAGUAGUC
This 465-nucleotide ribosomal RNA is filed under the name uncultured bacterium. RNAcentral's name for it is "partial 16S ribosomal RNA". It matches the Rfam family "Bacterial small subunit ribosomal RNA", at positions 338 to 795 of the family's 1533-position model. The record is from RNAcentral.